This 253-nucleotide ribosomal RNA is filed under the name uncultured bacterium. RNAcentral's name for it is "partial 16S ribosomal RNA". It matches the Rfam family "Bacterial small subunit ribosomal RNA", at positions 524 to 776 of the family's 1533-position model. The record is from RNAcentral.
GACAGAGGGGGCGAGCGUUGUCCGGAGUCACUGGGCGUAAAGCGCGCGCAGGCGGCAACCUAAGUGUCGUGUGAAAGCCCCCGGCUCAACCGGGGGAGGCCAUGGCAAACUGGGUCGCUCGAGCUGCGGAGAGGCCCCUCGAAUUGCCGGUGUAGCGGUGAAAUGCGUAGAGAUCGACAGGAAGACCGAGGGGGAAGCCAGGGGGCUGGCCGCAUGCUGACGCUGAGGCGCGACAGCGUGGGGAGCAAACCGG